AUUGAACGCUGGCGGCAGGCCUAACACAUGCAAGUCGAGCGGAUGAAGGGAGCUUGCUCCUGGAUUCAGCGGCGGACGGGUGAGUAAUGCCUAGGAAUCUGCCUGGUAGUGGGGGAUAACGUCCGGAAACGGGCGCUAAUACCGCAUACGUCCUGAGGGAGAAAGUGGGGGAUCUUCGGACCUCACGCUAUCAGAUGAGCCUAGGUCGGAUUAGCUAGUUGGUGGGGUAAAGGCCUACCAAGGCGACGAUCCGUAACUGGUCUGAGAGGAUGAUCAGUCACACUGGAACUGAGACACGGUCCAGACUCCUACGGGAGGCAGCAGUGGGGAAUAUUGGACAAUGGGCGAAAGCCUGAUCCAGCCAUGCCGCGUGUGUGAAGAAGGUCUUCGGAUUGUAAAGCACUUUAAGUUGGGGGGAAGGGCAGUAAGUUAAUACCUUGCUGUCUUGACGUUACCAACAGAAUAAGCACCGGCUAACUUCGUG
This 484-nucleotide ribosomal RNA is filed under the name uncultured bacterium. RNAcentral describes it as "partial 16S ribosomal RNA". It matches the Rfam family "Bacterial small subunit ribosomal RNA", at positions 30 to 507 of the family's 1533-position model. The record is from RNAcentral.